AGUGAACGCUGGCGGUAGGCCUAACACAUGCAAGUCGAACGGCAGCACAGUAAGAGCUUGCUCUUACGGGUGGCGAGUGGCGGACGGGUGAGGAAUACAUCGGAAUCUACUUUUUCGUGGGGGAUAACGUAGGGAAACUUACGCUAAUACCGCAUACGACCUACGGGUGAAAGCAGGGGAUCUUCGGACCCUGCGCGAUUGAAUGAGCCGAUGUCGGAUUAGCUAGUUGGCGGGGUAAAGGCCCACCAAGGCGACGAUCCGUAGCUGGUCUGAGAGGAUGAUCAGCCACACUGGAACUGAGACACGGUCCAGGCUCCUACGGGAGGCAGCAGUGGGGAAUAUUGGACAAUGGGCGCAAGCCUGAUCCAGCCAUACCGCGUGGGUGAAGAAGGCCUUCGGGUUGUAAAGCCCUUUUGUUGGGAAAGAAAAGCAGCAGGUUAAUACCCCGCUGUUCUGACGGUACCCAAAGAAUAAGCACCGGCUAACUUCGUG
This 492-nucleotide ribosomal RNA is filed under the name uncultured bacterium. RNAcentral's name for it is "partial 16S ribosomal RNA". It matches the Rfam family "Bacterial small subunit ribosomal RNA", at positions 29 to 507 of the family's 1533-position model. The record is from RNAcentral.